UUGUAGUUCUUCCAGCUUCUCUCCUUCCAGAUCUGGGCGUGCAAGUCAUGUGAGACGGAGAGGAUAGUUGCGGCGGCUGCGAUGUUGCAGGCCCUGGUUCUGAACCUCCAACAUGAGUCUCUUUCUUCCGUGCUGCCCAUGGAGGUCACCGGUAGCAGGAACGCCAUGAGUCGGCACAAGCAUUGCAGACGCGGAGGAUUUUUACUGGGGGCGAGCUACUCGUUCCCGGCAGUGCCGGUGUCAACUACCUCGAGCCACUUCUUGUUCAUGUAACUGCAUCUGUCCGGUGGCACGGUGAUGGAGACGGCGUUGGUGCGCAUCCCGCAGCUACUCCGGGAUUAGCUCGAUGCUUGGCACCGCCGCGCUCGUUGGCUGCAGCUGGGGCAUGGCGACGACCGUUGAAACGAAGGCCAGAUCGGAGGUGCCCGUCGCUGCUGCCACAGGGAGGGGAUCGGGAGACGCCCGUGGAAGAUGCUAUGGUGAGAAGAUAGAUGAAGAAAGAACUCAAGAGCUAAUAUUGUUGUUGCGGAUGUUUUGAGCAAACAACUAAAAGAAGAUAGAUGCUCUAGCAUGUUGAGCCCAUUGGAUUGAAGCCAAAGGAUGAAAUGACUUGUCGUCAUACCUCCAUUGCGCAGAUUGGGGAUGGAUAAUGAGAUUGUGACAUUGUCGUUCUUUCGUUAUUGAUAUCAAGGUUAUGCCAAAGUGACGUGCUUAAUGUGUCAACGUUUCUAGCAGAAAAUAAUGUUAAGGUGAAGCAAAUGCUAAGUGAAGAGGAACAAAGACAAAGACUGAUUUGAAUUUAAGAGGUGUCAUCUCAAAUUCGCAAUUG
Long non-coding RNA from Triticum aestivum (bread wheat), 829 nucleotides. RefSeq lists it as uncharacterized. The record is from RefSeq and is a predicted model, not a curated record. The transcript has 4 exons. Lineage: Eukaryota; Viridiplantae; Streptophyta; Magnoliopsida; Poales; Poaceae.